GGGGGCUUAGCUCAGUUGGGAGAGCAACGGCUUUGCAAGCCGUAGGUCGUCGGUUCGAACCCGUCAGCCUCCACCA
Molecule: transfer RNA, 76 nt
Filed under: Hyphomonadaceae bacterium
Lineage: Bacteria; Pseudomonadati; Pseudomonadota; Alphaproteobacteria; Hyphomonadales; Hyphomonadaceae
Description: tRNA-Ala
Rfam family: tRNA
About the family: Transfer RNA (tRNA) molecules are approximately 80 nucleotides in length. Their secondary structure includes four short double-helical elements and three loops (D, anti-codon, and T loops).
Source: RNAcentral